AUGUGGCCCACGGGUGAAAGAUAUUUAUUGCCAAAAGAUGAGCUCGCGUCUGCAUUAGCUAGUAGGUGAGGUAAUGGCUCACCUAGGCGACGAUCAGUAACUGGUCUGAGAGGAUGACCAGUCACACUGGGACUGAGACACGGCCCAGACUCCUACGGGAGGCAGCAGUGGGGAAGUUUUUCCGCAAUGGGCGAAAGCCUGACGGAGCAAUACCGCGUGAGGGAGGAAGGCUUUUGGGUUGUAAACCUCUUUUAUUAGGGAAGAAGAUCUGACGGUACCUAAUGAAUCAGCAUCGGCUAUAACUUCGUGCCAGCAGCCGCGGUAUUAUACGAGGGAUUGCAAGCGUUAUCCGGAAUUAUUGGGCGUAAAGCGUCCGCAGGUGGUUUUACAAGUCUGCUGUCAAAGCGUGGAGCUUAACUCCAUAACGGCGGUGGAAACUGUAAGACUAGAGGUCAACCAGUAGGGGUCACGGGAAUUCCCAGUGUAGCGGUGAAAUGCGUAGAUAUUGGGAAGAACACCAGCGGCGAAAGCGCGUGACUGGGCUG
RNAcentral lists this ribosomal RNA (545 nucleotides) under Anabaena sp. CW6. RNAcentral describes it as "bacterial SSU rRNA". It matches the Rfam family "Bacterial small subunit ribosomal RNA", at positions 188 to 736 of the family's 1533-position model. Lineage: Bacteria; Bacillati; Cyanobacteriota; Cyanophyceae; Nostocales; Nostocaceae. The record is from RNAcentral.